Molecule: long non-coding RNA, 2629 nt
Organism: Ailuropoda melanoleuca (giant panda)
Lineage: Eukaryota; Metazoa; Chordata; Mammalia; Carnivora; Ursidae
Exons: 3
Source: RefSeq, a predicted model, not a curated record
GUGAACGUGGUUUUUCCCAGCAUCAGAUCUGAACGCAAUUUCCUUUAGAAGCUGAGGUCGCCUGCUCUCUUUAGCAGCCAAAGCUUUAAUUCAGAAGCCCUCAUGGCCUUUCAGGUGUGCCCGGAGUCAAAUCAGGGCUGGAGUGUUUGGGAGACACCGAGAAAAACAGGUGCGGACCAACUGACUUCCGCUGGUUGCCUCCUCAUCACCCACUCCAAACAUCCAGGGAAUGAUAUUUUCGGGGACCACAAAGGAAUUCAAAAGGUGUGACGCCACAAGGGCAAAGAGGAUGGAAGAGGAGACCAAGCAGAGACAUGGGCCCGCAGUGUUUGCACAGUGAACAGCUGAUGGCGACUCAUAACUCAGCAGAGAAGCUGAGACCUUGGUGCCCUGGGGACCCAAGCACUGCUGAGAGCCUGCCCACUGGGAGGAACAAAGUGGACAUCUGCAUAGCACACUCUGGUAGAUUUUUAAAGAUGAUUUCAUUUAUUUGACAGAGAGAGGCAGCAAGGGAGGGAACACAAGCAAGGGGAGUGGGAGAGGGAGAAGCAGGCUUCAUGCCCAGCAGGGAUCCCGACGAGGGGCUUGAUCCCAGGACCCUGGGAUCAUGACCUGAGCCAAAGGCAGACGCUUAAAGGCUGAGCCAUCCAGGCACCCCGGCAUAGGACACUUUGGGAACCACAGCCUCACCCUUGAGGGAAGCUGAGUGAAUCCCCAGCCAUGCAUCUGGCUUUGUGGUACCAGACAUUUGAGGAAACCUUCUACCGUGAAAGGCAGAAACCUAUCAAAACAAAAGGGAUAAAAGGAGACAACAGGAAGAAUCAAAGGAAACUCUGAAGCAUGUUUACCAUUUGCUAACUCUCUGGACCCCAAGUGCUGCUUUCUGGCAAUGUGCGGCCUGGACACCCAGGUCUGGACAACUUUUCUCCUCUGAGAUAGGCUUUUAAAGGGGCUCCUGGGUGGCUCACGAGGUUAAGCCUCUGACUUGAUUUCGGCUCAGGUCAUGAUCUUGGGGUUGUGAGAUCGAGCCCCAUGUUGGGCUCCACGCUGGGCAUGGAAUCUGCUUGGGAUUCUCUUUCUGCCCUUCCCCCCACUCUAAAAAAAAAAAAAAAACAACAGAGAGAGAGCAAGAGAUAGGCUUUUGUAGCAAUGAGGCAGCCCCUGGGACCCUAAGGCUCUGAGGGAGGGUCUAACACUCAGAUCCUAAGCUCUUGUUCUGAACUCCUGCCCUUGGUUCUUUAGUCAACCUGUUAUUCCCUUUGCUAUGGUCAGAACGUUUGUGUUCCCUGCCCCCCAGAUUCCUAAUGCCCAAUGUGAUGGUCUUAGGAGGUGGGGCCUUUGGCAGGUGCUUAGAUCAUGAGAGUGGAGACCUCAUGAAUGACAUUGGUGUCCUUAUAAAAGAGACCCAGAGAGAUUCUCUUGCCUCUUCAUCAGGUGAGGACACAGAGGAGAAGGCACUGGCUAUGAACCGGGACAAGGGCCCUAAGCAGUAGGCAACCAUGCUGGGGCCUUGACCUGGACUCCCCAGGUCCCAGAACUAGGAUAAAAAAUUUCCUGCUGUUUAUAAGCCAGCCAGUCUGUAGUAUUGUGUUAUAUUACCCCGAAGGGACUAAGACACCUUCGAAAGCUGGCCCUGCCUUUCUAGGCCUGCAUUAGCCCCAGGAAGCAGCAAACUUGCCUCCAGGUCUAGGGUUCUGGAAGGGGCAGACACUGCCAAGGGGAACUGAAGCAGGAACAGGAAGCCAGGCACACAGUGAUAUGUACAGUGCGAUUCCAUUCACCUCACAUUCUGGAAAUGCCAAAGCUAUAGGGAGGAAAAAUCAAAGCAGUGCUUAUCAGAGCAUGGCGGUGGGGGAAGGGGCACCAGAACCCUCUUCCGAAUGAUGAAAAUGCUCUAUACCUUGAUACCUGUGGUUGUCAGACGAUCACACACUUUUGUCAAAAUUCUUUAAACUGUCUGUUUAAAAAGGGUAUAUAUUUUUUAAUUACGAAGUAAAUUAAAAUUUUAAUGCAUGUAAAUUAUACCACAAUAAAGCUGACUUUUGAAAAGGAAAAGAGAAAAGAGAUGGGAAGACAAAGGGAGAUUAGCAGGUCUGGGUUCAACUCCCACCGGUCACUUGAGAAUGGUGCCAUAAUCUAGAGCAAGCGAGUGACUUCAUUCCUGACUCUGUUUCCCGCUCUCUCAAAUGGAACUAUCAACAGAUCUAUCUUCCAGGCUGGAGAUAAGAAUUAUGAAAGAAAAUGCUCAGGGGCACCUGGCUGGCUCAGCCUGCGGAGUGUGGGACUCUUGAUCGCGGGCUUGUGAGUUCCAGCCCCAUGUAGGGUGUGGAAAAUCACUUUAAAAUAAAAUCUGGGGGGGAAAAAAAGAAAGAAAGAAAAUGCCAUAAAGCUCCUGGCUCAAGCGCCCUCCAAGCUACUUAUUCGUGUUCCCACCUCUCGGGUGCAUCCCUCUAGAACGAAUCCGCUCCCUCACGGACGCAGAGGCCAGAGGCCCUGACACCCUCACUGUCCUGCGCUGUGACUUGGGGAAGGAAGUGGGGCUUGAUGAGCCCGCCGCCCGCGUCCAAAGGGAAGCUCCGCAGCGCCCCCACGCUGUAGUGGGGAGACCGAGCUCCGACUGCGGGACGGG